RNAcentral lists this ribosomal RNA (253 nucleotides) under uncultured bacterium. Its description in RNAcentral is "partial 16S ribosomal RNA". It matches the Rfam family "Bacterial small subunit ribosomal RNA", at positions 524 to 776 of the family's 1533-position model. The record is from RNAcentral.
UACGGAGGGGGCAAGCGUUGUCCGGAAUCACUGGGCGUAAAGGGCGCGUAGGCGGCCUGGUAAGUAGGGGGUGAAAUCCUGCGGCUUAACCGCAGGGCUGCCUUCUAAACUGUCAGGCUUGAGCACGGUAGAGGCAGAUGGAAUUCCCGGUGUAGCGGUGGAAUGCGUAGAGAUCGGGAAGAACAUCAGUGGCGAAGGCGGUCUGCUGGGCCGUUGCUGACGCUGAGGCGCGACAGCGUGGGGAGCAAACAGG